Molecule: ribosomal RNA, 1005 nt
Filed under: Triticum aestivum (bread wheat)
Lineage: Eukaryota; Viridiplantae; Streptophyta; Magnoliopsida; Poales; Poaceae
Description: partial small subunit ribosomal RNA
Source: RNAcentral
AUGAUUACGCGCGGGGAUGCACGGUGUACGUACAAGCUGGACGUCGACGCCUUCCCACCGGACACGGGCACGGGCACGGACGACCACCUGGAGUCCACGGCGCGGCGGCUGCCACAUGAUUGCGUGGCGAUCCGCAUGGCGUCCCCCGACCGCCACCAGAACGACCAGUUCGUGUGCGUCGGCAGCAAGAUCUUCGCGUUCUACAAGGACAAGGACGCCGGCCGCAGCACCAUGGUGUACGACAGCGCGACGUCGCAGGUGGCCGUAUGCCCUCCGCUGCUCGCCCCAAAGGAUCUCGCCGAGUUCCUAACUGUCGGCGUCGACAUCUACGUCAUCGAGACCGACUACGACCACUUCAACUACAACUUUGUUCCCUCGAUGGAGAAACUUGGACCGGCGCCCCACCGUGGCUGGGGUGAAUGGCGGUGGGAGUCCCUCCGCCCGCCGCCGAUCAAACUGCCCAUCUUUGUCUCGUCCCAAGCGGUGCAUCCCGACGGAUCCACCAUCUUCCUCUCCGUCGCGGACAGGGGCACCUUCUCCUUCGACACCGGCCGCCUCGCCUGGACGCGUCACGGGAGCUGGCUUCUGCCUUUCGACGACAAGGCCUGCUUCGUGCGCGAGCUUGAUGCGUGGGUCGGGCUCUGCUCACACCAAAAAGGGCACAUCGCCGUGUGCAAUGUCAUCUCACCCGAUGACGGCCGGUGUGAAUGCCUGACCUGGACAACCGUCAAGGACAGGGUGUAUAACAAUAUGUGGAAGAGGUACCUUGCCGCGAGCCUCACUUACAUAGGCAACUCUGAGUUCUGUCUCCUCGAGACCAUCACACGCAAGGGCUAUGACAUUUUCACCGAGUCCAGGACGCGGAUGCUGCUUCGACUGGCAACCUUCCGGGUUGAGCGCCAGCAUAGCGGUGAGGUUCGGGCGGUGGACAUGCGCACCAUGCUUUACAAAUGUCCUCACUGGGAGUUGGAAUGUUGUCGUUCACCUACCGCUUUCUGGAUUUGA